RNAcentral lists this ribosomal RNA (451 nucleotides) under Astragalus membranaceus. Its description in RNAcentral is "eukaryotic LSU rRNA". The stretch from base 305 to 451 matches the Rfam family "Eukaryotic large subunit ribosomal RNA", at positions 1 to 147 of the family's 3401-position model. The record is from RNAcentral. Lineage: Eukaryota; Viridiplantae; Streptophyta; Magnoliopsida; Fabales; Fabaceae.
GAAUUGCAGAAUCCCGUGAACCAUCGAGUCUUUGAACGCAAGUUGCGCCCGAAGCCAUUAGGUUGAGGGCACGUCUGCCUGGGCGUCACAUAUCGUUGCCCGAUGCCUAUUGCAGUGUGAUAGGAAUUUUUAGGGCGAAUGAUGGCUUCCCGUGAGCGUUGUUGCCUCGCGGCUGGUUGAAAAUUGAGUCCUUGGUGGGGUGUGCCAUGAUAGAUGGUGGUCGAGUUAGCACGAGACCCAUCAUGUGUACGCUCCCCAUAAUAUGGCUUCGAUGACCCACAUGCGUCUUUUGACUCUCAUGACGAGACCUCAGGUCAGGCGGGGCUACCCGCUGAAUUUAAGCAUAUCAAUAAGCGGAGGAAAAGAAACUAACAAGGAUUCCCUUAGUAACGGCGAGCGAACCGGGAAGAGCCCACCAUGAGAAUCGGCCGCCCUUGGCGUUCGAAUUGUA